This 498-nucleotide ribosomal RNA is filed under the name uncultured bacterium. RNAcentral describes it as "partial 16S ribosomal RNA". It matches the Rfam family "Bacterial small subunit ribosomal RNA", at positions 28 to 508 of the family's 1533-position model. The record is from RNAcentral.
GAUGAACGCUGGCGGCGUGCCUAAUACAUGCAAGUCGAGCGAACGGACGAGAAGCUUGCUUCUCUGAUGUUAGCGGCGGACGGGUGAGUAACACGUGGAUAACCUACCUAUAAGACUGGGAUAACUUCGGGAAACCGUAGCUAAUACCGGAUAAUAUUUUGAACCGCAUGGUUCAAAAGUGAAAGACGGUCUUGCUGUCACUUAUAGAUGGAUCCGCGCUGCAUUAGCUAGUUGGUAAGGUAACGGCUUACCAAGGCAACGAUGCAUAGCCGACCUGAGAGGGUGAUCGGCCACACUGGAACUGAGACACGGUCCAGACUCCUACGGGAGGCAGCAGUAGGGAAUCUUCCGCAAUGGGCGAAAGCCUGACGGAGCAACGCCGCGUGAGUGAUGAAGGUCUUCGGAUCGUAAAACCCUGUUAUUAGGGAAGAACAUAUGUGUAAGUAACUGUGCACAUCUUGACGGUACCUAAUCAGAAAGCCACGGCUAACUACGUGC